RNAcentral lists this ribosomal RNA (2786 nucleotides) under Escherichia coli. RNAcentral describes it as "bacterial LSU rRNA". It matches the Rfam family "Bacterial large subunit ribosomal RNA". The record is from RNAcentral. Lineage: Bacteria; Pseudomonadati; Pseudomonadota; Gammaproteobacteria; Enterobacterales; Enterobacteriaceae.
AGCGUACACGGUGGAUGCCCUGGCAGUCAGAGGCGAUGAAGGACGUGCUAAUCUGCGAUAAGCGUCGGUAAGGUGAUAUGAACCGUUAUAACCGGCGAUUUCCGAAUGGGGAAACCCAGUGUGAUUCGUCACACUAUCAUUAACUGAAUCCAUAGGUUAAUGAGGCGAACCGGGGGAACUGAAACAUCUAAGUACCCCGAGGAAAAGAAAUCAACCGAGAUUCCCCCAGUAGCGGCGAGCGAACGGGGAGCAGCCCAGAGCCUGAAUCAGUGUGUGUGUUAGUGGAAGCGUCUGGAAAGGCGUGCGAUACAGGGUGACAGCCCCGUACACAAAAAUGCACAUACUGUGAGCUCGAUGAGUAGGGCGGGACACGUGGUAUCCUGUCUGAAUAUGGGGGGACCAUCCUCCAAGGCUAAAUACUCCUGACUGACCGAUAGUGAACCAGUACCGUGAGGGAAAGGCGAAAAGAACCCCGGCGAGGGGAGUGAAAAAGAACCUGAAACCGUGUACGUACAAGCAGUGGGAGCACGCUUAGGCGUGUGACUGCGUACCUUUUGUAUAAUGGGUCAGCGACUUAUAUUCUGUAGCAAGGUUAACCGAAUAGGGGAGCCGAAGGGAAACCGAGUCUUAACUGGGCGUUAAGUUGCAGGGUAUAGACCCGAAACCCGGUGAUCUAGCCAUGGGCAGGUUGAAGGUUGGGUAACACUAACUGGAGGACCGAACCGACUAAUGUUGAAAAAUUAGCGGAUGACUUGUGGCUGGGGGUGAAAGGCCAAUCAAACCGGGAGAUAGCUGGUUCUCCCCGAAAGCUAUUUAGGUAGCGCCUCGUGAAUUCAUCUCCGGGGGUAGAGCACUGUUUCGGCAAGGGGGUCAUCCCGACUUACCAACCCGAUGCAAACUGCGAAUACCGGAGAAUGUUAUCACGGGAGACACACGGCGGGUGCUAACGUCCGUCGUGAAGAGGGAAACAACCCAGACCGCCAGCUAAGGUCCCAAAGUCAUGGUUAAGUGGGAAACGAUGUGGGAAGGCCCAGACAGCCAGGAUGUUGGCUUAGAAGCAGCCAUCAUUUAAAGAAAGCGUAAUAGCUCACUGGUCGAGUCGGCCUGCGCGGAAGAUGUAACGGGGCUAAACCAUGCACCGAAGCUGCGGCAGCGACACUAUGUGUUGUUGGGUAGGGGAGCGUUCUGUAAGCCUGUGAAGGUGUACUGUGAGGUAUGCUGGAGGUAUCAGAAGUGCGAAUGCUGACAUAAGUAACGAUAAAGCGGGUGAAAAGCCCGCUCGCCGGAAGACCAAGGGUUCCUGUCCAACGUUAAUCGGGGCAGGGUGAGUCGACCCCUAAGGCGAGGCCGAAAGGCGUAGUCGAUGGGAAACAGGUUAAUAUUCCUGUACUUGGUGUUACUGCGAAGGGGGGACGGAGAAGGCUAUGUUGGCCGGGCGACGGUUGUCCCGGUUUAAGCGUGUAGGCUGGUUUUCCAGGCAAAUCCGGAAAAUCAAGGCUGAGGCGUGAUGACGAGGCACUACGGUGCUGAAGCAACAAAUGCCCUGCUUCCAGGAAAAGCCUCUAAGCAUCAGGUAACAUCAAAUCGUACCCCAAACCGACACAGGUGGUCAGGUAGAGAAUACCAAGGCGCUUGAGAGAACUCGGGUGAAGGAACUAGGCAAAAUGGUGCCGUAACUUCGGGAGAAGGCACGCUGAUAUGUAGGUGAAGUCCCUCGCGGAUGGAGCUGAAAUCAGUCGAAGAUACCAGCUGGCUGCAACUGUUUAUUAAAAACACAGCACUGUGCAAACACGAAAGUGGACGUAUACGGUGUGACGCCUGCCCGGUGCCGGAAGGUUAAUUGAUGGGGUCAGCGCAAGCGAAGCUCUUGAUCGAAGCCCCGGUAAACGGCGGCCGUAACUAUAACGGUCCUAAGGUAGCGAAAUUCCUUGUCGGGUAAGUUCCGACCUGCACGAAUGGCGUAAUGAUGGCCAGGCUGUCUCCACCCGAGACUCAGUGAAAUUGAACUCGCUGUGAAGAUGCAGUGUACCCGCGGCAAGACGGAAAGACCCCGUGAACCUUUACUAUAGCUUGACACUGAACAUUGAGCCUUGAUGUGUAGGAUAGGUGGGAGGCUUUGAAGUGUGGACGCCAGUCUGCAUGGAGCCGACCUUGAAAUACCACCCUUUAAUGUUUGAUGUUCUAACGUUGACCCGUAAUCCGGGUUGCGGACAGUGUCUGGUGGGUAGUUUGACUGGGGCGGUCUCCUCCUAAAGAGUAACGGAGGAGCACGAAGGUUGGCUAAUCCUGGUCGGACAUCAGGAGGUUAGUGCAAUGGCAUAAGCCAGCUUGACUGCGAGCGUGACGGCGCGAGCAGGUGCGAAAGCAGGUCAUAGUGAUCCGGUGGUUCUGAAUGGAAGGGCCAUCGCUCAACGGAUAAAAGGUACUCCGGGGAUAACAGGCUGAUACCGCCCAAGAGUUCAUAUCGACGGCGGUGUUUGGCACCUCGAUGUCGGCUCAUCACAUCCUGGGGCUGAAGUAGGUCCCAAGGGUAUGGCUGUUCGCCAUUUAAAGUGGUACGCGAGCUGGGUUUAGAACGUCGUGAGACAGUUCGGUCCCUAUCUGCCGUGGGCGCUGGAGAACUGAGGGGGGCUGCUCCUAGUACGAGAGGACCGGAGUGGACGCAUCACUGGUGUUCGGGUUGUCAUGCCAAUGGCACUGCCCGGUAGCUAAAUGCGGAAGAGAUAAGUGCUGAAAGCAUCUAAGCACGAAACUUGCCCCGAGAUGAGUUCUCCCUGACUCCUUGA